This 873-nucleotide long non-coding RNA is filed under the name Arabidopsis thaliana (thale cress). RNAcentral describes it as "long non-coding RNA (ATHA_LNC000288)". The record is from RNAcentral. Lineage: Eukaryota; Viridiplantae; Streptophyta; Magnoliopsida; Brassicales; Brassicaceae.
GAGUUUCCGGGGGUGUGUUUGGAGGAGUUUCUGGUGGUGUGGUUGGAGGUGUCUUUGGUGUGUUUGGAGGAGUUCCCGGUGGUGUGUUUGGAGGUGUUUCUGGUGGAGUAUUUGGAGGACUUUGUGGGGGGGUGUUUGGUGGAGUUUCUGGUGGUGUGAUUGGAGGAGUUUCUGGUGGUGUGGUUGGAGGUGUCUCCGGUGGUGUGUUUGGAGGAGUUCCUGGUGGUGUGUUUGGAAGUGUCUCUGGUGGUGUGUUUGGAGGAGUUCCCGGUGGUGUGUUUGGAGGUGUUUCUGGUGGAGUAUUUGGAGGACUUUGUGGGGGGGUGUUUGGUGGAGUUUCUGGUGGUGUGAUUGGAGGAGUUUCUGGUGGUGUUGUUGGAGGUGUCUCCGGUGGUGUGUUUGGAGGAGUUCCUGGUGGUGUGUUUGGAAGUGUCUCCGGUGGUGUGUUUGGAGGAGUUCCCGGUGGUGUGUUUGGAGGUGUUUCUGGUGGAGUAUUUGGAGGACUUUGUGGGGGUGUGUUUGGUGGAAUUUCCGGUGGUGUGGUUGGAGAAGUUUCCGGUGGUGUGUUUGGAGAAGUUUCUGGUGGUGUGGUUGGAGGUGUCUCCGGUGGUGUGGUUGGAGGUGUCUCCGGUGGUGUGUUUGGAGGAGUUCCCGGUGGUGUGUUUGGAGGUAUUUCCGGUGGAGUGUUUGGAGGACUUUCUGGGGGCGUGUUUGGUGGAGUUUCUGGUGGUGUUGUUGGAGGUGUCUCCGGUGGCGUGUUUGGUGGAAGCGUUGGUGGAGUCUGUGGUGGUGUGUUAGGAGGUAUUUCCGGUGGUAUGGUCGGAGGUGUCUGUGGUGGUAGGGUUGGUGGACCUGUUGGUAAAACUUCCGUAG